CAUCUGUGCAUCAGAGGCUCAUAUUGACAUGGUGCUCUUUGAAAUAUGAUACUCACGACUCUCCAUCUCAGGGGAACUAUGCAGAGGGAGGAUGCAGCAGGAAGCAUGAGAAGGCUCUGUGGAUGACAUGACAUUGGAAAAGGAAAUGGAAUCAUAGCUGAUCACAUAGCGCACUAUUGACACGGCCACACGCACCUGAGUUCUGGCUGUAAAAGACUACAUUUUCUGUCUUCCUUUUCAUGGCUAAGUGAUCCAGUUCUGACCAGCAGGAUGUGAACCAAAGAGCUACUUCCAGAUCAUGAUCAUAAAAGAAAUGGUUAUGGACUGGCCUUGGCCUUUCCUCCUUCCCUCUGGCUGGGAUACAGACCUAAUGGUGACAGAGAAGAGAUACCUUAGACUCAGGAUAGAAGCCAUCUGUUAAGUAUGGCAGGACCAUCCUAUUGGCCUUAGACUGGCUACCUCCAGACUAUAAGGGAGCUACUUUUUUUGAAAUCAACAUAUUUUUGGCUCUGU
Canis lupus familiaris (dog) is the source of this 513-nucleotide long non-coding RNA. RefSeq lists it as uncharacterized. NCBI's taxonomy places the organism in Eukaryota, Metazoa, Chordata, Mammalia, Carnivora, Canidae. The record is from RefSeq and is a predicted model, not a curated record. The transcript is spliced from 3 exons.